GUGGUCCUACGGGAGGCAGCAGUGAGGAAUAUUGGUCAAUGGGCGAGAGCCUGAACCAGCCAAGUCGCGUGAAGGAUGACGGCCCUAUGGGUUGUAAACUUCUUUUGUCAGGGAGCAAUUGGGUCCACGUGUGGGCUUAGCGAGAGUACCUGAAGAAAAAGCAUCGGCUAACUCCGUGCCAGCAGCCGCGGUAAUACGGAGGAUGCGAGCGUUAUCCGGAUUUAUUGGGUUUAAAGGGUGCGUAGGUGGUUAAUUAAGUCAGCGGUGAAAGUUUGUGGCUCAACCAUAAAAUUGCCGUUGAAACU
RNAcentral lists this ribosomal RNA (305 nucleotides) under uncultured bacterium. RNAcentral's name for it is "bacterial SSU rRNA". It matches the Rfam family "Bacterial small subunit ribosomal RNA", at positions 333 to 634 of the family's 1533-position model. The record is from RNAcentral.